UUUUUUUUUUUUUAAUGUGGAGCUAUUUGACAUUGAGAAAAACAAGUGAUCUCCUUCAACUUCCGUUUCAAUAGUGCGGAUUAUGGAAUUAUGAUGCAAAAAGAUAUGGAGCCAUCUGAUCCACGAUUCCAUCCCAACAGCAUCAUAUGCCCUGCUUGGAGAUGCUUGAAGAAACAGCCAGUCUUACUUCAGCAAGCCUUGCUCAUCCUGAGGUCUGGAGUGGGCACCUGCAUCAAUGUGUUUCAGUAAGGCUGGGUCAAGAGCGAAAUUUCUUAACUGAGAGCCAAUAGCUUGUAGCAGUUUAGAGUGUGGACCUUGGAGUUCCCGUUGUGGCUCGUAGUUAACGAACUCAACUAGCAUCCAUGAGGACGUGGGUUCAAUCCCUGGCCUCUGCUCACUGGUUGCCGUGAGGUGUGGUGUAAGUUGCAGAUGUGGCUCAGACCUGGUGUUGCUGUGGCUCUGGUGUAGGCUGGAGGCUACAAGCUGAAGCGCAGUUCUGCAAUCCAUCAAUGUGCCUCAGAGAAGGUAAGGCUACUUUGAUGAACUCAAGCAAGCUUGCUUCGGGGCUCUGAAGCCAAGAGAUCCAUCACCUUUAGCCUUUAAGGUCUUGCCUCUUAGAUGCUCUGUUUUCUUAAUCACUGGCUGUACUGUCCUCAGGAAGGGGUAGUGACUGGGGGUCCUACUGCGUCAGCAGUCCUGGAGGCCUCUCAUUUGUGCUGGCUGGGUUUUUCCUAGCUUUGCUUGGCUCUGGAAUCUUGGGUCUUGAGUCUUGGCUCAAGGAAUUCUAAAUCCUGCCUCUGACCCCUGUCCAAGCUCCCAGGCCAGAUCCUUAUACUGCUGUAUUUGGUGAUCUGGUCCCUGGCCUCAACUUGCAAAGGACUGCCCACAUUCUACAGAUGGGCUUCUGUGCCAACUCUCCCUAUGUCAAGGCCAUCGGAUUCCUUGGGAACAACCAGACCAAUGCCGAUUUAUCCCAGAGACUGUGAUGCAUCUUAGCACCAUUUUCACCACGAAGUAUAUCUUCUUUUAUAUGAUAAUGACCCAAAGAGACCUCAAUCUAAAACCAUAUUCUUCAUAGUAGUCAGUUCCAUAGUAUUUACCACCAAUAGCACUAGUUUUGUCAAUAACACAGUCCAAGUAAACUACAGUCAUGUGUAAAAAAAGAAAAUUUCAACAUUUUAAUGAAUGUUACAAACCCUGGUUGAGUUAACCCAAGGCAGUUAGGUCUCUAACCCAAGGCUGAGUUAGGGGUUUGCUUCUACUUGUUAAUGUCACUUGCAAAUGUCUUUGGCUUUCCAACUAGAUAAGGAGAUUCUUGAAGGCAAUGAUUGAUGCAAUUGCAGAUUCACGUCCUUAAUGUCUGAAGUGCUGCCUAACACACAGUAGGUACCUGGUACACACUGGGUGGCCGAAUUGAUGGGUAGGUGAAUGGGUGGGGGAGUUCUACAGGGCUGGACUGUUUGCUGACCCAGACAGAGAGAAAGGAAACAGUUCCAAAGCUUUGCCCUUCUGACCAAGAGAGUAUUUCCUUUCUUUUCCAAACACUCUUCCUUUAGAGCAUGGCUAAAUCCUACUUAUGUUUUAAGGAAGGUUGAAUAUCCCAGGUUGUGACUCCUAGAGCCAUGGAACUCUGCCCCAUAGAUCCUAAGAGUCCAGGGACUUCUAUAGAACCCCAAAAUGAAAGGCACAAAAGAGGCCAUGAUGGAAACAUCAAAACUAAAUGAAAUACUGGAAACAAGUUAAUGAAAUUCCAUGACAGAAAGGGCUGGUCCAAGGAAGGAGAGAGAGAGAGAGAGAGAAAAGGAAAAAGGAAAAAAACCAACAAACCCAACUCAGGACCAGAAGCAGCUGUCUAGUUUGAACUGCUAGACUGCUGAGCACACACUGCAUGCAUAUUCAUAGGUGCCACCAGAAAUUAAGCACCUCUGGAACCAGCAUUAAAACUCUCCUGCCAGCCAGGGCAGUGAACCAGUAACUCAACAGCCCCCUUGUGGUCCGGAAGAAUUAAUGCAGCUUCCCAAGGUGUGAAGGUUCUUCUUGAGGUGUGGGGGAGGGGGGUUGGCUGGGGAGGCAUGGAGCCCUGUAAGAGGAGGGGGAUGCUGCUGAACCCUGUGUAAAGGGUUAGACUUGGCCCCCUGUUCAUGGAGGGAGGGCAAUUCACCACCAUCAACUCUCUCUCUUUCCAGAGUCUGCAAAAGGCCCCUGGUGUACCUGCCUGCUCCAACUAACUCAUGCUUCUUGAAAGAAGCAGCAGAUCAAAGGAGCUCCGUGUUCCCAUUUAAAAAUAUCAUUUAAGGGAAUUUUAAGCUGUCUGAGAAGAUGGAUACACUAUGUUUGUUUUCUACAUUAAUGAGCUAUAAAAAGAAUGGAAUAGGCCAUAAAUAUAGUAUUUUGCAACAGCCUUUACUAAAAAUGCUACUACUUGUGUUUAUCAUUUAUAUCCUUGUAUACAACCUCAAAAUUGAUUACACUUUAAACCCUACAUAACUUGCUGUGUUUUUCAUUUUGUGCUAUACUACAAACAUUUUUAUAACUCAGUUAAUAUAUUCCAUAUUUUGUGUUCUUAUUGAUUAUGAAUAUUUCUUUAGGGGAUUUUAUUGCUUUUAAAAUAACAAAUGUUGGGUAUUAAAAAAUAGAAAAACCUAUUGCAGCUUUUAUAUUUUUGCUUCCCCUGGUAAUUCUAAUAGAUACAUUGGAGCAUGAACAUAACCAGAAUAUCUUUCUCUGUAUCUUUUAUACUUCCUCACAUUAAAAUUAAAAAUCUACGAAUGUAGUGCACAGUAAAAGAACCGGAUUUUUCAAAGGAAACCCACCAUUUAAUGUGUUCGACUUGAAUUCAUAAUCUAUUCCUACUACAAUUAAAAAAUUAAAGUGCCAAAAGAUUAUCUGCACGUAACAUGAUGGUUUUACAUCAAGUAUAUAUUAUCUUUCCUAAUUGCCAUUUCAGUUUAUAGGCUGCACUAUGAUUUAUAUAUACGAUAUGAUUUCACUAUUAAUUAUCAAAUUGAAAAAAAUAAAAUCUCACAUUAUAAAUUCUCUCCUGGAAAUUAGUUUUAUUAUUUUUUCCAUAAUCCUAUCACACAAGCUAUAAGUGCAUUGCGGCAUGAACACUUUAAUUUUUCCAGUUAGUUUUAAGCAAGCCCAGAGGUGAGGUUUAAUAAGGAUCAAUGGCACUUUAUCUGGGACAGGGCCUCUUCACAGCAUGCAAAUUACACAGUAACACUUAAAAAAAGAAAUAGAUUUAAUUAAAAAAAAAGUAGAACCACAGGCUCUGGAAAUUCAAUUAAAGGAUUUAUGCAAAGGUUUGCUAGGUUUUUAUAUGCAGUUACUGCUUACAUAAUGAGCUUUUCAUAUUAAAAAUCAAUAGGUAAUCUAGACUAGAAGAUCAUCCCCUUAAAUACAUUUUUGAAAUCAAUUUGAAAAAUAGUCCAUCAACUGCUGUGACUACCCUUGCUGCUUUGAUUACACUAAAAGCAAUAUUUAGAUUGUAAGACGUGCUACGGAAUAUCUAUGCUGGGAUAUCGCUUUCAAGGGCUCUUAGACUUCAGAGGGCCUAAGACCAUCACCUAGUAAUUCAAGACGGUGUUAAAUGUACAAAUAAUUGAUUUAAUUACGAGCCAAAGCCCAGGGCGUGACCCCAUUGUAUUUCUAAAGAUUAAAUGAAAGGAGAAAAAAGACAAAGGGAGGAAGACAGAGAGGAGGAAAGAAAAGACAAGACAGAGAAGGAAAGAAGAGAGGGAGGGAGGGAGGAGAAGGAGGGAAAAAAAAGAAGAAAGAACCUUUCCUAAGUCAGUCUUCCCUGUCUCCGUCGCCUCUGCGUGUUGGCUACUUAGCGCCGGGAGAUAUGCGCUUCACUUUAAAACUCAUUUAGGUCUUCAAGGAAGGAAGCAAUUAGCGAGCUCUAACUUAAGCCGACUUUCCAUCCUCAGUGAUAAUGAGGGACAGGUCUUGAAAGGGAAAUGAAAGCGGAGGCUCCAAUUCUAUCCAGUAAGUACACUCACGGCCAAGAUUUGCCUGGACUGGUAAGGACCAAAACACGGGACAGGUUUCCAUGGGCCACUCCUGGCAAACGGGACAACCACCAUCACGUCGGGGGAAGCUCUGGGAAGAGUGAAGGACGGACAGGACCCGGGUAGUUCUGAUUCUGAACUCCGCCCAUCUGAAUAAUAAAGGAAUACGAGAAAUAUUCUUCACUCCCUCUUUCUCGGACUUUUUUACUUAAAAAGUGUUCGUUUCUGAAAAGUAGGGUCAGUACUCUGGGUCCAUCAAAAUGAACAUCAGAGCUCAAGUUAUAUCUUCGACCCAAGUCAGUCUUGUAAAAGCAGGCCUAAACCACAGCAAGCACGACGUUCUAACACAGCAGUGCCUUACACUUCUUCAGGAAAAGAAAUAAGCAAACGUAUUUACAAAUCCAAAUGUAUCCGCCUGCCUCUCACCAAAGGUAAUGCUUUAAGAAGGUGCUGAGACAGCUGGGUAACCGGAGAGCCAGGAGCAGCACUGGGAGGUCUCGGCUCCUGAUGCGCCGUGUGGAGAAGGUGAAAACUAAGAGCAGCGGUGAGAGGAAGGGGCACCUUCUACACCUGAGACAGUGGGUGUUCACACCGUGUGCAGCAUUUCUGCAGCACGAUCCCGGACCAGUCCCACCCCAGGCUGACCCUUCCUUUGGACGUGCCUACAGUGGAGCUGAAGGAGGUUUUAGGGCCGAGGGCCCAGCACCGGCCUAUCAGUCAAGCAUUCGUGUACGUGUACCUGGCAAGUACUGCAAAACACCUGGGAUGUGCCAGGCACUGCCAGCCGUGGUGCUAACCACAAAGAUGAACCCAGUGGAACCAGGGUCCUCGGAUAGGUUAGAUAGGUCUGUAUACACAUUUACUCUUCCUUUGAAAGCUUCCAUUUACAAGAAAGAAAUAAUAAGCAAGGAGCUGAAACAUGAGCUGGGGUCCCUUGAAACCACGAGGCUCAGGGAAAGAAGCCAGUCACAAAGGAGCGCAUGUUUGAUGCCAUUCAUUGGAGAAGCCAAUGGGUACAAACAGAAAGUACAUCUGUGGUUGCCUGGGGCUGGCGGGGUGACAGGCUUGUUUGGAGGUGAUGGCCAGAGCCUGAAGCGUAGUAGCUUUAAGGAAAAGCAAACAACAAAAGCUGCAAAGAAAAAAACGAGGUUGAAAAAACAGAAACAAAGCGUAACUUCAUUUUCCACCUGCACCAAUCUGGCAAAUCAAACAUUGAGGGUUUCUCCUCCUCGGCAAAGUACUUUCUGUGACAAUCAGUUUAUCGAUGUGCAACCAUAAACAACCGGCUCUCCAUGGGAAGGUACUGAAAUCUCAACAAGCAGAACCUUCCACCACAGGAAAGGAAAACGUCCGUGCAAAAUGCCCCAGGUUGGUGUGAUCGAAAAGUCAAGCAGGAAACCGCUCUGCAACAAUGUGAGAGGGGUUGGUAAUGGAAGUUUGAACAAUGUUAACACUUAAAAUUUCAGCAGAACCAUUUCAAUCCAUAAAUGUAUAAAAGUCAUUUUACAGUGUGUUUAACAGCCAAGACCAAGAGCUGUUAUAAAAGAAGACGCCCUCAAUGUCACUUCAUUUUCUUUUAUUCUUAUUAUCACAUUUAAAUCUCUCUGUAGAAGUGGUCUUGAUAGGUAACUUUAUUACACAUUUCGAGACUAUUCAUUCUGAACAGAACUUCCUCCAAGGAAUUAACAGAAAGAGAGAGCCCACUUUUCCCUCAUCGUCCCUAAAUUACGCCAUAACUACGGAGCAGGGCAGCGGCAGUGUGCAGGCGACAAGGACUCGGCCUGCUAGGCCCCACGGCAGCUCAGUAAACUUGGAGGUGACUCUCUUGGUUGGUCACAACCGUCGGUCCCUAACAAACACCUUCCUGUGUAGCUGGCAAAGACCUGGAGGGAAGAGUCAGGGAAGGCAGGCGUGGAGACAUGUUGAAGAGAAAGAAUUCCCGAAAGUAACCACGAGAGCCGUGUCAGCCCUCAAGACAAGGACACAUUCCGACCUUGGUCCCUGAAGGGCAAGGACCUCCGCACGUCGGCAAAUGUGUGUGCAAAGGGCAGUCAGUACCUAUGUCAGCUUCCCAAGACCCAGCUCAUCUGCUGCAAAGACUCAACUCUGCCACGAUGCUGCUGCAGCAUAGACAACACGUCCAUGGAUGAGCCAGGCCGGCUUUCAAGAAAACUUCAAGGAAAAUCAGAUUUAAAUUUCAUCUGGUUUUCUUGUAUCACGAAGCGCUGUUUUCCUUUUAACAUUUUCCCAGCCAUUUAAAAAUGUAAAAAGGACUCUUCGUUGAGAGCGCACGUGAAAACAGGCAGAUUUGGCCCAAGGGCCACACAUAUUUCUCCGGUGCGCAACCACAGCCGGCCAGCAAGGAGGUCCCCAAGAAGGGCUGCGACACAUCUCUGCUGUGGCUGCUGGCCAGGACCGUCACGUGGCCACCCUCGGCUGACACUCAUCCUUCCAGUCCCUGAAGUGGAAGGGAGACCACAGUCCCUGACUCCGCAGACAUAAGAACAGUGUCCUGUCGCCGCCAGAGGCUGAGAUCAGAGCGGACAGGGAGGCUGGCUUACUCAUCUCCAGCUCGCUCCAGAGUCAAGCAUCAAGAAUGGGCAGGUAAGGAGUCCAGAGGGACUCAAAAGCGAUAGACGACAGUACCUCAGCCGGGGCAAAGGCUGCCUACUGCUUCCCCCACCUGCUUCCCCUUCGUCAUGGGCACCCAGCUGGGAUGUAUGUCCUGGCAUGCCACAGACAGACGCCACCCCUAGACCGCCACACACGACACCCCAUGUUCUCACCUCGUCCACCAGCUCAAUGCGGACAACCAAGCUGGCCUUGGAAGCCAGGCUGGGAGAUGGCUGGACCACGGGAUGGAAAGAGCUGGGAUCCCUGAGAAGUCACUGGGAAAAGAGCUACAUGCUAAGCCAAAGAACCACUUUGGGCCUCACAUAAGCGAGAAAAACACAGGACCAUGUUUGAACCACUGGGCCCGUGUGGGCUGACUGCUCUUACAGCAGCUGGCGUCACCUUUACAACAAUCUAGCACUGAGACGUCUGUCAGGGAAUCGCGGCCACGUCUUGUGGGCUCCAAGCCCAGCUUACAUGUACUGCUCUGUUUGGGAGCAUCGCUUGGUGUCACCCAGCAUCGCCUUGCCCUGGCUUCGGGGGCUCUUUUGGGAGCAAGAGAAGCAUGCCUGGCGACACGUCUGCAAACCAGGAGAGGAAAGACCCAAGCCCGCACGUCCGGCCUGGAUGUCCACACGGAAGCAGCCUCCACAGACCCUCCCCACCGUGUGAGGGAGACAGGGACACCUCGGCAACCUGCUAGGCUUGGAAGGUUCGGUGUUUCACGUCUCUUAGUGAGACCCUUUUUAUGCAAAAGCCCUUGUGCAUGCUCCGUGGUACACUGCCAGGGAAUGCCCAGCUUCACACGGAACGGGCGAUUUAUAAACACCAGCAUCACGCGCACUGUGGAGCGCUGUCACCUCAAUUUCAGAGCCCUGGUCCCUUUUCUGUGUACUUUUUGUUUGCCUCAGCGCUUCGCCAAGUGCUAUUGUGAGGUGAUGCCUUUUGUAGCUUUAGAGUCUGGUGCUUUCGAAUGUACUCCCAGCGCUACUUGCCCUGUUCUCUUGCUCCUAGAUGGAAAACAAACUGCAAAUGGCUUUACAGUGCCAGCCCUUAAAUAUUUUACAGGCAGAAAUCUUGGUGGGUGGUUUGGAGGCUCAAUUACCCUCCUCGGUGGAGGAUACAAACAUCCCCGAGGGUUUACAUAACACACCUGGGCGCUCUGUGGUACUCAAAACGCGCAGGAUGUAUGUACCUCUCCCUCUGGAACCGCUGACCCCACGGCACGUGAGCACCUGAAAGGUGUCAGGCCGGCAGGACUGCCCAAGAGUUAAAGCUAAAUCCCCCUGUCCAUCCAUCGAGGGACAUGACAGAGACAGCGCAGUCGCUCAGAAGUGUUAGGGUAAGACAUCAUGGUACUGAAAGCCGUCCCCUUGAAUAUGCUUUUCUGGGAAAGAAGAGGUAAAGAGAGAAGCCUUUUCAAGUGUCAGCUACUUCAAAAGAAAGAGCCAGAACGGAGCUGUUGUUACGCAGCAUGAAGUGGCAGUAUGGGGGGAGGGGGGUGCUAAAAUCAGAAUGUGGACAGUAACAGCACCCCACCCCACCUGACCCAUCCAAAACUCUGACAUAAGUGCUGUUAUCCCCAUUUCACAGAUGAGGACACUGAGACUCAGAGAGUCUCACUGUCACUGGCUGAGCCUGCCCUAGAUCAGUGCAGACACAGGAUGUGUGCCAGGUCCGUCUGAUGCCAAGCCCUGUGCUCAUCCCACUUGACCACGCUGUCUCCUCUCCCCAUGAGGCUGCAGCGUCACUGAGGAAUCCGAGGAGGGAGGGACAGGCACCUCCCCCAUGGAGGAGCAGGUGCAUCGCCUGGGAGGAGCGCGGGUGAGGCCGGGUCCCAACAAGAGAUGAGGGGCUUGAGCUUGGCUGGGUGGUACUCGAUCCUGCAAUUCUCCCUUCUGCUAUGAACAACAUACGGUCAGAAGGAUACGACCGCUGGGAGGAUCAGCCAGAUCUUCUGAAGGAGCAGGGUUCCGAUGAGUGUGUCUGAGAAAGGAGCGGGGAGAGGAUGGAAUUUUUUUUUUAAGGAGAUUAAAAAGAUAUCAAUAGACGCCUCUCCCACAAAUGUUUGAUGUUCGAUUUCUAAAGCAGUGUUGGAAACAAAGAAAAAAAGAAAAUGAAGCCAAAGACAGCAAGAGUCAGGGAGCCUGGUGUCACUGUAUUUGAGUCAUUUUAUAGACAGAAAGUCCGGGGGCCCAGAAUAUUCCAAUACUGUUUCCAGAGUUGUAUGAGGUAUGGUCUUCUAAAUUCGAAGAAAAGGAGGAAAAAAGUUUCUAUGCUACGCCUAUUUCGAGCUUUUAUCAGUACUAAUUCCAGCCCCCUUUUUCCCUUACAAUUCUGAACAGAGGGAAAACAGACAUUAAUUAAGCAAAGCUUUAUCUCUUUCUACUCUAAUGAAAACCAACUUACAGUGAUAUUUUUCCCCAAGAUUUUUCUCCACUUAAUGAAGACAUUAUCCCCGAGUUUUCAAAGUCAUUUUACAAAAGAGUAUUCAAGAGACAUUAAAGUCAGUUUAAACUCAAAAGUCUUUCUGAAGUCAAUAAACAAUAAAAGAACAAUGAAAAG
Molecule: long non-coding RNA, 9188 nt
Filed under: Sus scrofa (pig)
Lineage: Eukaryota; Metazoa; Chordata; Mammalia; Artiodactyla; Suidae
Description: lncRNA (ENSSSCG00030048887.1)
Source: RNAcentral